This 76-nucleotide transfer RNA is filed under the name Burkholderia pseudomallei. RNAcentral describes it as "tRNA-Gly(tcc)". It matches the Rfam family "tRNA". From Rfam's summary of the family: Transfer RNA (tRNA) molecules are approximately 80 nucleotides in length. Their secondary structure includes four short double-helical elements and three loops (D, anti-codon, and T loops). Lineage: Bacteria; Pseudomonadati; Pseudomonadota; Betaproteobacteria; Burkholderiales; Burkholderiaceae. The record is from RNAcentral.
GCGGACUUAGCUCAGAUGGCAGAGCGAGUGCCUUCCAAGCACAAGGUCGCCGGUUCGAUGCCGGCAGUCCGCUCCA